Molecule: long non-coding RNA, 245 nt
Filed under: Homo sapiens (human)
Lineage: Eukaryota; Metazoa; Chordata; Mammalia; Primates; Hominidae
Description: non-protein coding lnc-HRH4-12:1
Source: RNAcentral
AUCUGUGGUAAUUCUGGCAGAAUUUUUUUUUACUUCUUUGUGAACUUAUGUGAAAUGCUUACAAUUUAUAAAAUUACAUCUUAUUUAAUGAAGUAUUGGGGCCAGGAUCCUCUGGCUCAAUCCCCAUCUGAGAACCCAAGGGCAAAUGUACAUGUAUGGGUAAAAUGACCUGUGGGGUCAAGGGAGAAAAGAAUUUUCUAGGGCUUCUUGACAUGGGAUCCCAAUGCUCUAGGAUUCCAAAACCU